CCUACGGGUGACAGCAGUGAGGAAUAUUCGUCAAUGGGCGCGAGCCUGAACCAGCCAAGCCGCGUGAAGGAUGACUGCCCUACGGGUUGUAAACUUCUUUUUUAAAGGAAUAAAGUGAGGCACGUGUGCCUGCUUGUAUGGACUUUAUGUAUAAGGAUAGGCUAACUCCGUGCCAGCAGCCGCGGUAAUACGGAGGAUCCGAGCGUUAUCCGGAUUUAUUGGGUUUAAAGGGAGCGUAGAUGGGUUGUUAAGUCAGUUGUGAAAGUUCGCGGCUCAACCGUAAAAUUGCAUUUGAUACUGGCAGCCUUGAGUGCAGGUGAGGUAGGUGGAAUUCCUUGUGUAGCGGUGAAAUGCUUAGAUAUCACGAAGAACUCCGAUUGCGAAGGCAGCCUUCUAAACUGCCACUGACACUGAUGUGCGAAAGCGUGGGGAUCAAACAGGAUUAGAUACCCGAGUAGUC
This 460-nucleotide ribosomal RNA is filed under the name uncultured bacterium. RNAcentral's name for it is "partial 16S ribosomal RNA". It matches the Rfam family "Bacterial small subunit ribosomal RNA", at positions 338 to 795 of the family's 1533-position model. The record is from RNAcentral.